GAAUUGGCGAGGGGAAGGCAGCUUCCUCUCCAAUUACGGUGAGGGGCACACACCUUGAAGGUCUCUUUGAAUUGCGGCCGCCAGCCCCUGCCCCCUCCCCUCUCCUCCGCCCCCUCCGCCGGGCCAUUCAUCGCUACAUUAGGGAGGAGGCAGAGGGUGACGAUGCUCCCCCAAGUUCACUUCUCGCUUGUUACAGGCGACCCAUUUAGAGCUGAAUGACUAUGUUCAGAGACAGCUCUAAAUGACACCCUCCACCUCUUCACGGAGCCACUUGGUUUUGUCUUUUUUUUUUUUUUUUGUAUCCCGGAGAAAUAAUUGAUAAACCGAACGGCCGGCCACCUUAAAGCUGGGCGCCUCCCUGGCCACCUGGUUAAAAUUCCUCCUCCGCUCCCCACCUCCCCACAUCCAUUUUGCUCUGUGCUGUUUAAACAAUACUUCAUCAAAUGCAGCCUGGAGCAAAUAAGAAAGCUCAGUAGAGUAAAUAAAAAGUCAAAAAAAAAAUCACCGGCUGGAGGGCAAGAUGCUUCCUCAGACAUGCUUCCUCAGUGCACCAGGCAGAAACUGGAAAAAGAUUACAAUUCAACAUGGCAAAUGCUAAAACAGAGGCCUACAGUGCAGAAACGUGUAGACCAUGGCCCAGACUCCUCACAUUCGGGACAGAGACAGCUCCUUGGCACAACAGGCAUACCUCAUUUUGUGUAAUACUUAAUAAACUCGAUUUGGUUAAAGAUAAAAUUUUAGUUGCAACACACUAGAAAUCCGUUCUUAAAGGAUACUUUUGCAUAGCAAAUAGUCAUUCCCAAUUUCCAUUUUACUUCCCACUUUUAGUAUAAUUUUCAUAAAUCUGCAUUGAGUUUCUUCCAGCAACAUGGAG
RNAcentral lists this long non-coding RNA (874 nucleotides) under Equus caballus (horse). RNAcentral's name for it is "lncRNA (ENSECAG00000045397.1)". The record is from RNAcentral. Lineage: Eukaryota; Metazoa; Chordata; Mammalia; Perissodactyla; Equidae.